RNAcentral lists this long non-coding RNA (255 nucleotides) under Mytilus galloprovincialis (Mediterranean mussel). The record is from RNAcentral. Lineage: Eukaryota; Metazoa; Mollusca; Bivalvia; Mytilida; Mytilidae.
UCAUUAUCCUAAUUGGUAUACUUCGUAGAUAAGAAGACAAACAAUUGAUACCGUCUUAUAACACUCAGUGCAAUUUACUGUUUUGUAACCUCUGGUAAGUUUGGUUUAUGAUUGCCUAUCACUCAAAAAAACAACGAACAGAAUCACCAAAGAUGACUAAUAUAAAACUGUUUCAUCAAUAAAAUGUAUUAUAAUAUGAGCAACUUGCCUAAACAAUGACAUGUGUAGCUUUAUGCUGUUGUUUAUAUGUAGUAU